RNAcentral lists this ribosomal RNA (253 nucleotides) under uncultured bacterium. RNAcentral describes it as "partial 16S ribosomal RNA". It matches the Rfam family "Bacterial small subunit ribosomal RNA", at positions 524 to 776 of the family's 1533-position model. The record is from RNAcentral.
UACGAAGGGAGCUAGCGUUGUUCGGAAUUACUGGGCGUAAAGGGCGCGUAGGCGGCCUGCUAAGUCAUACGUGAAAUCCCAUGGCUCAACCGGGGAACAGCAUCUGAUACUGGCAGACUCGAGGAUGGUAGGGGUGAGUGGAACUCCAGGUGGAGCGGUGAAAUGCGUAGAUAUCUGGAGGAACACCGGUGGCGAAAGCGGCUCACUGGACCAUAACUGACGCUGAGGUGCGAAAGCUAGGGUAGCAAACAGG